AUGGCGGGUGCGGCGAAGGCGUCAUGGACGGUGGCGAUGAGUGUGGGCGCGGUGGAGGCGCUCAAGGACCAGGCGGGGCUCUGCCGCUGGAACUAUGCGCUCAAGUCCAUCCACCGAGCUGCCAAGGCCACCGUCCGCGGUGGCGUCUCGCAGGGCAGCAAGCAGCUUCAGGCCUCCGCGUCGGCCGUGGCGGAGAGGCGUCGAGCAGAGAAAGCAGAGGAGGGGCUGAGGACGGCGAUGUACCUCAGUUGCUGGGGUCCCAGUUAG
This 267-nucleotide ribosomal RNA is filed under the name Triticum aestivum (bread wheat). Its description in RNAcentral is "partial small subunit ribosomal RNA". The record is from RNAcentral. Lineage: Eukaryota; Viridiplantae; Streptophyta; Magnoliopsida; Poales; Poaceae.